RNAcentral lists this long non-coding RNA (704 nucleotides) under Homo sapiens (human). RNAcentral's name for it is "non-protein coding lnc-PRKCQ-6:1". The record is from RNAcentral. Lineage: Eukaryota; Metazoa; Chordata; Mammalia; Primates; Hominidae.
AAGUGCCAUCACAGUGGGUGACCCAAUCCCACAGGAUGGACAACAGAAUGUUGGGAGGUGACACCUUCCCGGGUCAGCCUCCUGCUCAAUUCAAGUUCAACCAGCGAAGGAAGCAGAGCAGAUAUUGCAACUCAUGCUUUUCUAACUCCAGGGUCCAAAUUAUUAGCCACUAUGCUCAAACAAGGAAGCACAUUCUCAGGUCGCCAGCCCAUUUUCAUUUUAUGGAGCCUAAGCCCACGGCUCUCCUUCCACGUGCCUCCCUCCAACUUAGUAAAGUCUUCAGCUUCUCUGAUAGGUUAAAGCGUUGAAUGCCUCCUGCAAAAUUUAGAUGGCCCAAGUUUUUGUUGAGAAAGACCAUGCCUCGCAAGAGCUGUGGGGCCUGACUGAGCCCACAAAGCCAGAGAGUCUGCAGAAGUUGUUUUCCUGUCUAACAGUGCUGAGCUUUAUGGCUUCCCGCAGGGUGGUGGGGAAACAUUAUGCUAAGAGCAUCUCUGAGUUCUCCAGGAGACUCUUCCUGCCUCUUUAAUUUGAUAUUUGCAUUUCCUUAUCUAGGAAAUGAAAAUAAUUAUAUCUAUGCCUCUAACAUUUUAGGGGCGUGUGUGUGUGCAUGCACCAAAUGAGGUAAGGUGUGUAAAGCAUUUUGUAAAAUGGAAAAUGUUAUUGCAUGUAAAUUAUUAUUAUUAUGACUUAACUUGAUUUAGAAU